CGGACGGCUCAGUAACACGUGGCUAACCUACCCUCGGGUGGGGGAUAACCUCGGGAAACUGAGGAUAAUACCCCAUAGGAGAAGAGGUCUGGAAUGAUCCUUCUCUGAAAACAUAUGUGCCCGAGGAUGGGGCUGCGUCUGAUUAGGUAGUUGGUGGGGUAACGGCCCACCAAGCCUACGAUCAGUACGGGCCUUGAGAGAGGCAGCCCGGAGAUGGGGACUGAGACACGGCCCCAGGCCCUACGGGGCGCAGCAGGCGCGAAACCUUCGCAAUGCACGAAAGUGCGACGGGGGGACCCCAAGUGCUUACGCACUGCGUAGGCUUUUCUAAAGUGUAAAAAGCUUUAGGAAUAAGGGCUGGGCAAGUCCGGUGCCAGCAGCCGCGGUAACACCGGCGGCCCGAGUGGUGACCACUUUUAUUGGGCCUAAAGCGUCCGUAGCCGGUCCAGUAAGUCCCUGUUUAAAUCCUACGGCUUAACCGUAGGGCUGGCAGGGAUACUGCUGGACUUGGGACCGGGAGAGGGCGAGGGUACUUCAGGGGUAGCGGUGAAAUGUGUUGAUCCCUGGAGGACCACCUAUGGCGAAGGCACUCGCCUGGAA
Molecule: ribosomal RNA, 600 nt
Filed under: uncultured archaeon
Lineage: Archaea
Description: bacterial SSU rRNA
Rfam family: Archaeal small subunit ribosomal RNA
Source: RNAcentral